Bos taurus (domestic cattle) is the source of this 72-nucleotide non-coding RNA. The record is from Rfam. Lineage: Eukaryota; Metazoa; Chordata; Mammalia; Artiodactyla; Bovidae.
UCCCUGGUGGCUUAGUUGGUAAAGAAUCCGUCUGCAAUGUGGAAGACCUGGGUUUGAUUCCUGGGUUGGGAA